RNAcentral lists this long non-coding RNA (1237 nucleotides) under Olea europaea subsp. europaea. Lineage: Eukaryota; Viridiplantae; Streptophyta; Magnoliopsida; Lamiales; Oleaceae. The record is from RNAcentral.
GAGAGAGAGAGAGAGAGGAUGAUCCUCUCUGUAUUUUUCCAUUCUUUUAUCUUUCUUUAGCUCCAUUUUUUUGAUAUGGUAUCAGAGCAAUCUAAUGUAUUCCGCUGUGUUCUAGAUUAGUUCCUCUGCUGAUUGUGAUUAUGGCUGCUGAAGAUUCUUCUAAUCCUUUGUUUCUGGCAAACAAUGACAAUCCUGGUACUGUAUGGGUUUCUCAAGUUCUUCAUGGAUAAAAUUAUUUUCCUUGGAAGAGAUCAAUGUCCAUGGCCAUCUCUGCCAAGAACAAGCUUGGCUUCAUAAAUGGAAAACUUCCAAAAUCGAUUGCAACUGAUCCUACUUAUCAAGCAUGGAUUCGUUGUAAUGACAUGGUUUGCUCUUAGAUCUUAAACUCCUUGAGCAAAGAUAUUGCUGCUAGUUUCUUUAUAUUGCUACUGCAUCUGAUCUGUGGAAAGAACUGGAAGAAAGGUUUAGUUAAGGAAAUGCUCCACGCAUUUUUCAAUAAAAGAAAUAUAUCAGUGGUCUUACUCAAGGUUCAUCAUCAGUGACUGAUUAUUUUACCAAGUUCAAAACCUUGUGGGAUGAAUAUUCAAUUAUCGUCCUUUACCUGAUGAUAACAGUCCUAGUGUUAAAACUCUACUGGAUUAUCAUCUUCAAGAUUACGUUAUGCACUUUCUUAUGGGACUGAACGAGAGUUUUUCUGCAAUAAGGGGUCAAAUUCUGCUUUCUAAUCCAUUGCCUUCUCUCAACAAAGUGUUCUCUUUUUUUUUGCAAGAGGAAACUCAAAAACAUGUUGGUCAUUACACUCUUCAUUUUGACUCUGCUGCUAUGACCAGCAAGACAGCACCUGGUCCUUCUCUGUCUCAACACUCAUCUGGUUCAUUCAAGCAGCCAUCUGGUCCUCGAAAAGGAAAAUUAUAUUGUACUGAAUGUGGUUAUACCUCUCACACGACUGACAAAUGUUUCAGAAUUAUUGGUUCUCCUCCAGGUUUUAGAUCAGGUAAGAGUAAGUGAAUUAAUUCUUCAAGCCAAGUUCAUUCAGUGGCAUCUUCUGGCGAGCAGAAACUUUCUUCAAUGCCACUCACUCAAGAACAAUACAAUCAGCUCCUCAAUUUACUUAAACCAGUCAAUGCUCCACCAGUUGACACUCAUUUGGUCAGUAAGUGUGAUAACCUCACCCCAUCGUUUCAGCCUUAGUGCAAUAUGAUAGGUAAACAUCAUUGCCUAUCAUUUUCUUCUACCC